GAUCAUGGCUCAGGAUGAACGCUGGCGGCAUGCCUAAUACAUGCAAGUCGAACGAAGUUUUUAGGAAAGCUUGCUUUCCAAAAAGACUUAGUGGCGAACGGGUGAGUAACACGUAGAUAACCUGCCCAUGUGCCGGGGAUAACUGCUGGAAACGGUAGCUAAAACCGGAUAGGUGGCUUCGAGGCAUCUCGGAGACAUUAAAAUGGCUACGGCCAUGAACAUGGAUGGAUCUGCGGCGCA
Molecule: ribosomal RNA, 240 nt
Filed under: uncultured bacterium
Lineage: Bacteria
Description: partial 16S ribosomal RNA
Rfam family: Bacterial small subunit ribosomal RNA
Source: RNAcentral